Molecule: ribosomal RNA, 510 nt
Filed under: uncultured bacterium
Lineage: Bacteria
Description: partial 16S ribosomal RNA
Rfam family: Bacterial small subunit ribosomal RNA
Source: RNAcentral
GACGAACGCUGGCGGCGUGCUUAACACAUGCAAGUCGAACGAAGAGCGAUGGAAGCUUGCUUCUAUCAAUCUUAGUGGCGAACGGGUGAGUAACGCGUAAUCAACCUGCCCUUCAGAGGGGGACAACAGUUGGAAACGACUGCUAAUACCGCAUACGAUCUAAUCUCGGCAUCGAGGAUAGAUGAAAGGUGGCCUCUACAUGUAAGCUAUCACUGAAGGAGGGGAUUGCGUCUGAUUAGCUAGUUGGAGGGGUAACGGCCCACCAAGGCGAUGAUCAGUAGCAGGUCUGAGAGGAUGAACGGCCACAUUGGGACUGAGACACGGCCCAGACUCCUACGGGAGGCAGCAGUGGGGAAUCUUCCGCAAUGGACGAAAGUCUGACGGAGCAACGCCGCGUGAGUGAUGACGGCCUUCGGGUUGUAAAGCUCUGUUAAUCGGGACGAAAGGCCUUCUUGCGAAUAGUGAGAAGGAUUGACGGUACCGGAAUAGAAAGCCACGGCUAACUACGUG